RNAcentral lists this ribosomal RNA (254 nucleotides) under uncultured bacterium. Its description in RNAcentral is "partial 16S ribosomal RNA". It matches the Rfam family "Bacterial small subunit ribosomal RNA", at positions 524 to 776 of the family's 1533-position model. The record is from RNAcentral.
UACGUAGGGUGCGAGCGUUGUCCGGAAUUAUUGGGCGUAAAGAGCUUGUAGGCGGUUUGUCGCGUCUGCUGUGAAAUUCCAGGGCUUAACCCUGGGCUUGCAGUGGGUACGGGCAGACUAGAGUGUGGUAGGGGAGACUGGAAUUCCUGGUGUAGCGGUGAAAUGCGCAGAUAUCAGGAGGAACACCGGUGGCGAAGGCGGCAUCCUGGACCGGCAUUGACGCUGAGUGAGCGAAAGCCAGGGGAGCAAACGGG